CUUCAGUUCUAAACCCACAGGAGUGGGGUGGACAGGUCCUGAGAGCUCUACUUCUAGUUUUUUGGGCACCGCCACACUGUUCCCAUAGCAGAGCACCAGGCUUGCACUCCCUCCCACAGAGGACCAGGGUUCCGGUUCCCUGGUCCCACUAGCACUCCACGUCCUUUGUGGGGUUCUUUCAGAACACAAGGAGACGUGGCGUGGGCCUUGAAGUCUCUGAGGUUCUGAUUCUCCUGCCCUUGCUCACUGGGAAUACUGCCCACCUUAUGCCGGUCGUCUGUCCCCACCAAAUCAACCAGAUCAAGGUGGAAACCACGGCUGUCAAGCUCAAGCCCCGUCAUGGCAAAAACCCUCAGCAAACUAGAGAGAGCAGGAAAUCAACUCAACAUCGUAAAGGCCACGUAUGAAGACCUCACAGCUGAUAUCACACUCAGGGUGGAGGGUUCGUGUAGACCAGGAACAGGGCAGGAGGCCCGCACUCACCACUCCUGCUCAGCCUAGCCCUGGGAGCCCCAGCCAGAGCAGCUAGACAAGAAAAAGAAAGAGAAUGCACUCAAGUAGGAGAAGAAGUGGCAAAAAUAAUCCCACCUGCAUAUGAUGAUCUUAUGUACACAAAACUCUAAAGACUCCAUAAAAAAUCACUUAGAACUAAUAAAUGAACUCAAUAAAGUUGCAGGAUACAAAAAUCAACUUAUAAAUAUCAGUUGCAUUUCUAUACAUUAAUAAUGAGCUUUCUGAAAAGUGAUAGAAAUACAGCCAUUUACAAUAGCAUCAGAAAUAACAAAAUAAUCAGGAACAAACUUAACUAAGAAAGUAAAAGUUCAGCACGUGGAAAACUACAAAAUAUUGAUGAGAUGAAUUUAAAAAGCUACAGAUGCAAAAGCAUCCCAGGUUCAUGGAUUGGGAGAUUUAACGCUGUUGAAACAUUCCCCCCACCAUAGCCAUCUACGGAUUCGAUGCAAUUCCUAUCCAAGUCCCAGUGGCACAGAAAGAGAAAUGAACGAUUCUAAAUUCAUAGAAAACCACAAAAGAACUCAAAGAGAUUAAAAAAAAAAUCUCGGAAAGGAAGAGAAGUAGAGGGACCACAUUUUCUGAUUACAAAGGUCCAGUAAUUAAAUGCCACGGCACUGGGUAGAAACAGACCUAGAGAGCACGGAAGAGCUCGGAGAGCC
This 1172-nucleotide long non-coding RNA is filed under the name Marmota monax (woodchuck). The record is from RNAcentral. Lineage: Eukaryota; Metazoa; Chordata; Mammalia; Rodentia; Sciuridae.